UACGUAGGGUGCGAGCGUUAAUCGGAAUUACUGGGCGUAAAGCGUGCGCAGGCGGUUCGUUAUGUCCGAUGUGAAAGCCCCGAGCUUAACUUGGGAAUGGCAUUGGAAACUGGCGGGCUGGAGUGCGGCAGAGGGGGGGUGGAAUUCCACGUGUAGCAGUGAAAUGCGUAGAGAUGUGGAGGAACACCGAUGGCGAAGGCAGCCCCCUGGGUCAAGAUUGACGCUCAUGCACGAAAGCGUGGGGAGCAAACAGGGA
This 256-nucleotide ribosomal RNA is filed under the name uncultured bacterium. RNAcentral describes it as "partial 16S ribosomal RNA". It matches the Rfam family "Bacterial small subunit ribosomal RNA", at positions 524 to 778 of the family's 1533-position model. The record is from RNAcentral.